Molecule: transfer RNA, 84 nt
Filed under: Felis catus (domestic cat)
Lineage: Eukaryota; Metazoa; Chordata; Mammalia; Carnivora; Felidae
Rfam family: tRNA
About the family: Transfer RNA (tRNA) molecules are approximately 80 nucleotides in length. Their secondary structure includes four short double-helical elements and three loops (D, anti-codon, and T loops).
Source: Rfam by way of RNAcentral
GCCUGGGUGGCUCAGAGGUUGAGCAUCCGACUUCAGCUCUGGUCAUGAUCUCACAGUUCGUGGGUUCGAGCCCCAUGUCGGGCU